UCAGAACGAACGCUGGCGGCGUGCUUAACACAUGCAAGUCGGAUGCGAACGGCGCUUUCGGGCGUUGAGUAGCAUGGCAGACGGGUGAGGAGCGCGUAUCUGACUGGACUCAGGCUGGGGGAUAGUCCCUCGAAAGGGGGUUGAAUACCGCAUGUGCUCGGUGCUGUGAGGGCAUCGAGGAAAGUUGGCCUCUGCGGGCACGCUGAUGGCCUGAGACAGGGAUGCGUCCUAUUAGCUAGCUGGUGGGGUAAGGGCCUACCAGGGCGACGAUGGGUAGCUGGUCUGAGAGGAUGAUCAGCCACACUGGGACUGCGACACGGCCCAGACUCCUACGGGAGGCAGCAGUGGGGAAUUUUGCGCAAUGGGCGCAAGCCUGACGCAGCAACGCCGCGUGCAUGACGACGCCUUUCGAGGUGUAAAGUGCUGUCGACCGGGACGAAGGGGCGAGGGUGAACAGCUUUCGCGCAUGACGGUACCGGUGGAGGAAGCCCCGGCUAACUCCGUGCCAGCAGCCGCGGUAAGACGGAGGGGGCGAGCGUUGUUCGGAAUUACUGGGCGUAAAGCGCGCGUAGGCGGUGCAGCAAGUGGUGCGUGAAAGCCCUCGGCUUAACCGGGGACGGGCGUGCCAAACUGUUGGACUGGAGUGCCGGAGGGGGAGGCGGAAUUCCUGGUGGAGCGGUGAAAUGCGUAGAGAUCAGGAAGAACGUCGGUGGCGAAGGCGGCCUCCUGGACGGACACUGACGCUGAGGUGCGACAGCGUGGGGAGCGAACGGGAUUAGAUACCCCGGUAGUCCACGCCGUAAACGAUGGGUACUAGGUGUGGGGCUUGUGAUGAGGCCCGUGCCGGAGCUAACGCAGUAAGUACCCCGCCUGGGGAGUACGGUCGCAAGGCUGAAACUCAAGGGAAUUGACGGGGGCCCGCACAAGCGGUGGAGCAUGUGGUUUAAUUCGACGCAACGCGCAGAACCUUACCCCCAGGUUUGACAUGCA
RNAcentral lists this ribosomal RNA (990 nucleotides) under uncultured organism. RNAcentral describes it as "bacterial SSU rRNA". It matches the Rfam family "Bacterial small subunit ribosomal RNA", at positions 24 to 990 of the family's 1533-position model. The record is from RNAcentral.